Molecule: ribosomal RNA, 484 nt
Filed under: uncultured bacterium
Lineage: Bacteria
Description: partial 16S ribosomal RNA
Rfam family: Bacterial small subunit ribosomal RNA
Source: RNAcentral
GACGAACGCUGGCGGCGUGCUUAACACAUGCAAGUCGAACAAUGAACCCGGAGCUUGCUCCGGCGGAUUAGUGGCGAACGGGUGAGUAACACGUGAGUAACCUGCCCUUGACUCUGGGAUAACUGCGGGAAACUGUAGCUAAUACCGGAUACGACCCUCGGCGGCAUCGCCAGGGGGUGGAAAGAAUUUCGGUCAAGGAUGGACUCGCGGCCUAGCAGCUAGUUGGUGAGGUAACGGCUCACCAAGGCGACGACGGGUAGCCGGCCUGAGAGGGUGACCGGCCACACUGGGACUGAGACACGGCCCAGACUCCUACGGGAGGCAGCAGUGGGGAAUAUUGCACAAUGGGCGCAAGCCUGAUGCAGCAACGCCGCGUGAGGGAUGACGGCCUUCGGGUUGUAAACCUCUUUUAGUAGGGAAGAAGCGAAAGUGACGGUACCUGCAGAAAAAGCACCGGCUAACUACGUGCCAGCCGCCGCCGUAA